This 953-nucleotide ribosomal RNA is filed under the name Russula sp. RNAcentral describes it as "partial 28S large subunit ribosomal RNA". It matches the Rfam family "Eukaryotic large subunit ribosomal RNA", at positions 35 to 966 of the family's 3401-position model. The record is from RNAcentral. Lineage: Eukaryota; Fungi; Basidiomycota; Agaricomycetes; Russulales; Russulaceae.
UAAGCAUAUCAAUAAGCGGAGGAAAAGAAACUAACAAGGAUUCCCCUAGUAACUGCGAGUGAAGCGGGAAAAGCUCAAAUUUAAAAUCUGGUGGUCUUUGGCCAUCCGAGUUGUAAUUUAGAGAAGCGUCUUCCGCGCUGGGCCGUGCACAAGUCUCCUGGAAUGGAGCGUCACAGAGGGUGAGAAUCCCGUCUUUGGCAUGGACACACCAGGGCUUUUGUGAUGCGCUCUCGAAGAGUCGAGUUGUUUGGGAAUGCAGCUCAAAAUGGGUGGUGAACUCCAUCUAAAGCUAAAUAUUGGCGAGAGACCGAUAGCGAACAAGUACCGUGAGGGAAAGAUGAAAAGCACUUUGGAAAGAGAGUGAAACAGUACGUGAAAUUGUUGAAAGGGAAACGCUUGAAGUCAGUCGCGUUGACCGAGACUCAGCCUUGCCUUGGCUUGGUGUACUUCUCGGCCGACGGGUCAGCAUCAAUUUUGCCCCUUGGAUAAUGAUGGGGGAAAUGUGACACCUUUAUGGUGUGUUAUAGUCUCUUGUCGCAUGCGAGGGUCGGGAUUGAGGAACUCAGCACGCACCUUUGGGUGUCGGGGCUUUGCCCACGAUACGUGCUUAGGAUGUUGGCGUAAUGGCUUUAAACGACCCGUCUUGAAACACGGACCAAGGAGUCUAACAUGCCUGCGAGUGUUCGGGUGGAAAACCCGUGCGCGUAAUGAAAGUAAAAGUUGGGACCUCUGUCGUGGAGGGCACCGACGCCCGGACCAGACCUUCUGUGACGGCUCUGCGGUAAAGCAUGUAUGUUAGGACCCGAAAGAUGGUGAACUAUGCCUGAAUAGGGUGAAGCCAGAGGAAACUCUGGUGGAGGCUCGUAGCGAUUCUGACGUGCAAAUCGAUCGUCAAAUUUGGGUAUAGGGGCGAAAGACUAAUCGAACCAUCUAGCAGCUGGUUCCUGCCGAAU